UUGGCUGAAAUUACCCUUCUGUUUGAAGAUCUGAGUAUGGUGAUGUCUACAAUAAAGGCGAUGUUCAUGUGCCACAUAGUUUGAUGGACUGAUUAUACAACCUCCAUGUGUGCACCUGAAGCAAUUCUUAUGUUUAUGAUGAAUUCUAAUCCACCACAUGAUCCUUGGUAGAAGAUGAAAUGGCUACAGAAAGAAGUUCGAGGAAUACAAGGAGGAAGGGACAAAAAUAAGUGACAUCUUAUUUGUUGAUCUAAGUUGAGUCCCACGUCGGUUAAAGUAUAGAUGUGGGUGUGUUGACGAUGUUAUAAAUAAAGAGGAAUUACCGAGUGAAGCUUAUAUUCACUAAUUUCAAAAAAAAUGAAUGAUAUUUAUAGCAUUAUUUUAUAGCAAUAGUUUGGACAACUUUUUGGCGAGUUUUAGUAUGAUUGCCCCUUUUGUUUUAUUUGAUAUUAGUUGUACACCUUGCA
Long non-coding RNA from Medicago truncatula (barrel medic), 467 nucleotides. RefSeq lists it as uncharacterized. The record is from RefSeq and is a predicted model, not a curated record. NCBI's taxonomy places the organism in Eukaryota, Viridiplantae, Streptophyta, Magnoliopsida, Fabales, Fabaceae. The transcript has 2 exons.